This 75-nucleotide transfer RNA is filed under the name Amycolatopsis thailandensis. RNAcentral's name for it is "tRNA-Glu". It matches the Rfam family "tRNA". From Rfam's summary of the family: Transfer RNA (tRNA) molecules are approximately 80 nucleotides in length. Lineage: Bacteria; Bacillati; Actinomycetota; Actinomycetes; Pseudonocardiales; Pseudonocardiaceae. The record is from RNAcentral.
GGCGCGCUGGUCUAAUGGCAGGACACCGGACUUUCACUCCGGCUGGUACGGGUUCGAGUCCCGUGCGCGCUACCA